UUACCUACGGGACGCAGCAGUGGGGAAUACUGCACAAUGGGGGAAACCCUGAUGCAGCAACGCCGCGUGAAGGAAGACGGUUUUCGGAUUGUAAACUUCUGUUCUUAGUGAAGAAUAAUGACGGUAGCUAAGGAGCAAGCCACGGCUAACUACGUGCCAGCAGCCGCGGUAAUACGGAGGAUGCGAGCGUUAUCCGGAUUUAUUGGGUUUAAAGGGUGCGCAGGCGGUCUGUUAAGUCAGCGGUCAAAGCCCGGGGCUCAACCCCGGCCCGCCG
This 274-nucleotide ribosomal RNA is filed under the name uncultured bacterium. Its description in RNAcentral is "partial 16S ribosomal RNA". It matches the Rfam family "Bacterial small subunit ribosomal RNA", at positions 335 to 626 of the family's 1533-position model. The record is from RNAcentral.